UACGUAGGGUGCAAGCGUUAAUCGGAAUUACUGGGCGUAAAGCGUGCGCAGGCGGUUUUGUAAGUCUGUCGUGAAAUCCCCGGGCUCAACCUGGGAAUUGCGAUGGAGACUGCAAGGCUAGAAUCUGGCAGAGGGGGUAGAAUUCCGACGUGUGAGCAGUGAAAUGCGUAGAGAUGCGGAGGAACACCGAUGGCGAAGGCAGCCCCCUGGGCUAACACUGACGCUCAGGCACGAAAGCGUGGGAGCAAGAGG
RNAcentral lists this ribosomal RNA (252 nucleotides) under uncultured bacterium. Its description in RNAcentral is "partial 16S ribosomal RNA". It matches the Rfam family "Bacterial small subunit ribosomal RNA", at positions 524 to 775 of the family's 1533-position model. The record is from RNAcentral.